AUGGAUAUACUGUGUAAAAGUGUUAUAAGAUCUCUCUUAUUUAGAAUUUCAGAAUGUUAAGUCUAAUUUAUGAUGAUAUGAACUUGUGGUGAAUAGUUGGUGUUCUGAUUGUAUAAUUUAUUUAGCUUUGUGGAUUUAUAAAUGUUGUUUAUGUUUGUCAAGUUGGCUUGGGUUGCCAUAAAUGUGAAUUAUCGAGUGAUGUGAUAUAUGAUUAUAAACUGCACAGGUAUUAUAGAUGUGAAUUUGAUAUAAUGUUUUUCAGUGUCCUCAAAUGUUAGUUUGGAUCAUGGAUUGGCUUGUGUUGAAAAUUUUAAUAUCAUGGUUAUUAUUUGAGGGGGCG
Molecule: long non-coding RNA, 340 nt
Filed under: Musa acuminata (dwarf banana)
Lineage: Eukaryota; Viridiplantae; Streptophyta; Magnoliopsida; Zingiberales; Musaceae
Description: long non-coding RNA (MACU_LNC011111)
Source: RNAcentral